This 514-nucleotide ribosomal RNA is filed under the name uncultured Glomus. RNAcentral's name for it is "SSU rRNA". It matches the Rfam family "Eukaryotic small subunit ribosomal RNA", at positions 569 to 1081 of the family's 1831-position model. Lineage: Eukaryota; Fungi; Glomeromycota; Glomeromycetes; Glomerales; Glomeraceae. The record is from RNAcentral.
AGCAGCCGCGGUAAUUCCAGCUCCAAUAGCGUAUAUUAAAGUUGUUGCAGUUAAAAAGCUCGUAGUUGAAUUUCGGGGUUAGUAGGCUGGUCAUGCCACCGGUAUGUACUGGUCUUUCUGAUUCCUCCUUCCUGAUGAACUGUAAUGCCAUUAAUUUGAUGUUGCAGGGAAUCUGGACUAGUUACUUUGAAAAAAUUAGAGUGUUUAAAGCAGGCUAACGCUUGAAUACAUUAGCAUGGAAUAAUGAAAUAGGACGCUCGAUCCUAUUUUGUUGGUUUCUAGGAUUGACGUAAUGAUUAAUAGGGAUAGUUGGGGGCAUUAGUAUUCAAUUGUCAGAGGUGAAAUUCUUGGAUUUAUUGAAGACUAACUACUGCGAAAGCAAUUUGCCUAAGGAUGUUUUCAUUAAUCAAGAACGAAAGUUAGGGGAUCGAAGACGAUCAGAUACCGUCGUAGUCUUAACCAUAAACCUAUGCCGACUAGGGAUCGGAUGAUGUUAAUUUUUAAUGACUCAUUC